GGCAAAGUGUACAAUUCCUUUUCUUUUGGUAAAAAGAAUUUUUCAAUACUCAUUUCAUAACAUUGUAAUAAGUCAGAAUAUGUGCAUAUUAUUCCAUAUUUCAAUAUAUUACAAAUUGCUCAGAUAAUGAAAUUGUAUGGUAGUUGUCAAAUUUCAAGCAUUGCUUAGCUUUGAAGUUUGAACUCUAUAAAUGAAUUUGUGCAACUGUCCUUUAUAUUUCACUUUAUACUGUUAAGAGUAUGUGACUAUUGUCCAUAAAUAAGUUUGAUACUAUAAGAAAACUACUGAAAGGAGAGAUUUUCUUGUAAUAUUACUAAAACUGAAGUACUGAAUAAAGCAAUUAACUUCUAGUUUUCUUACUUAAAGAAAACUGUCGAAUGAUGAGAUAUUCUGGUAGCUUGAACUCAGUUAUAAGUGUUAGUUCAAAAUCAUAGAUGUAUUCAUUUGUUUGCUUGAUAUAAAAUAAUUUUCCUUCAAGCAAUUUUUUAUUUCAAUAAUGUUACACAAAUUUCUUUUCAUUCAUCAUGCAUUUAAAACAGUUGUAUUCAGUUUUAUUAAUUCUGGAAAAUUCACAUGUUGUUUGCAUUGUUCAUUUCAUAAUAUUACUCAGAAUUUUUCAAUUUUGCAAUAUUGAAAAUGGAUAAAUAUUAUAAUCGAUGGGAUAUUGUGGUAGCAUCUAUAUUUCUUGUUGGGUAUAGCUUUAUUUUAAGCUACUUAUUGGCAGUAGUGAAGGACACAUUUUCAUAUCGCUUCAUCUUGAAAAAGUGCUUAUAUUACCAUGUUGUACUUAAAACUUUCAAAACUUAGAACAUUUCAUUUAUAAAUGAAUCAUUAAUACUUAGAAUUAUAAUUAUAAGACCAUUUAAUAUUGUAAUUCAUAACACCUUAUCAAACGCUCAUGAAAAUACAAGACAUAAAAAUCUAAGACACCCAUUGGUAAGAUUUCAAUAGACGUGAAAGUUUACGCUUGCCAUUGUAUCAUCUUGUGCAGUUACAAUUGUUAGAAUCUUAUAAAAAAUGUUAACCAUUUAAGAACCUAAUAUUUAGGUAUAAAACUCCAAAAAAAUCUUACCUAAGGUUGUAUAACACUUUCUGGCAAUGCAAUCAUAAAAUUUUGAAGGACGAUUUUUGUACUCAGACUCUAGAAUCAACCAAUCAAAAUACUGGAUUUUGUGUUUCCAGCACAAAUUCUGACUCCGUGUACCGAGUAAAGUUUUAUCACCAAGAUCCCUGGUCACAUAUGCUUUUUCUUUACAACUAAUGUUCAGAUGGAUUUAAACAUAUUUAAAAAAAAAAUGUUUAAGGUUUUUAUGCUGAGACAUCUCAUCUAGUAUAGAGGUUUUUGAAAAAAGAAAAUGUUUAAGUCUAAAGCAAUCAAGUGAUAAUAAGAUAGAAAAUUCAAUUUUGCAUAACCUGUAUGUAUGGUAUUGAUUGAAAUUCACAUUUUGUUCCAAAGAUCCAAGAUAUCUGACAAAGGGUAUUACAAAUUGUUUUUCAGAAUUAUUUCAAAGAGAGGCAUGAUAUCUUCAUAUUUUCACUGUAUUUUUUAUUAACCAAAUUAUCAAAUUAUCAUAUGUAGAUCAUAACAGGAGGUAUUUUAAAAAUUGAUUUCUGUGAAAAUCAAAAUGCCUUCCUCGGUUGCUUUAACCUGUUUGGUCCAAUAUUGUGGAUUCAUUUAUUUUUGUGGGUACCAAUUUUCAUGAAUUAAGGAAAACUUGCAUUUUCAUGGAUAUUUGAUUUCGUGGUUUUGUCAAAGUCUGUACAAUUCAUGGUUUUGGUAACCACGAAAUCAAUGAAAACUGGUAUCCAACGAAUAAUAAUGAAUCCAUAAUAGUUAAAAAUUGUUUUAAAAAUUAUAACCAUUGCUGUUGUGUGGAAAAAUUCAUAUAAGUGCAUCAUUUAAACCUUAUAUGGCAUCAUGACAUACAUUGUUAUUGUUUGUUAAGUUUAAUGUUGUAUUUAAUUAUAAAAUGUGGUUCUGGUAUUUUCCACUACAACGGAUCGCUCUAGAAUCUUUUACUAUUACUUUUUUAGUGGGGUUCCUCUAUUAAAAUAUAAGUUUCUAUUUUGAAAAUGCUUUUUUUUUGGGAUAGCAGUUUUGCCGGUAUAUAAAUGUAAUGUGCAGAUUUAGGAUAUACUGUAAACCAACUGAUUUUUGAGGAUAUUUUUUUGGCUUGAUUAGCUAAUCUAUUUUACAAUUUUCUUCAUUUAUUCAUGUCAAACUUAGCAUUUAAGCAAGUAUUUACAGUCUUUAUCAUGCUAUACUUGUAAAAGUUCCAAAAACUAAAUGGCAUAUGAAAAUUAUUUGGUUUAUAGAUUUUGAACCUGAGGGUGCAUACAUAUAAAAUUUUGGCAUGUCUAACGUCUCCAGUAACAGCUUUCUAACAUUCUUUUUUUCUUUUUUCAAUCGAUGUGGGAUUUAAUUACUUUCAUUUUUGCUUACUAAUUUACACAUAUACACUUAAUCAUUCAGAAAUAGCAGGUGUAAAAUUAUUAUGCCAUAAAUACAUUUAUUUCACACAUAUGUACCCAUUACUUACAUUUUGUUUAUUCAUUUACACUUGCCAUUCACAAAUUGAAAAUGUAAAAUGAACUAUACACAGGAAUAUGUCCACAAUACAUGUAUUUCACACUUAUUUACAUUUUUGCUUAUUCAUUUAUACAUACAUAUACAUGUACCAUUAACAGUUUACAGGUGUGAAAUACACGAUGCAGCGGAACAUGCCCUAUGUUCAUGUUGUUCACACUUGCUGUAUUCAUUUACACAUAUAACACUUGCUGUUCACAAGUAGCAGAAUAGAAAUGUACUAUACAAAGGAACUACAAAACAUUGUACUUAGCUUUGUCUCGUUAAGAUUGUUAUGUUUGAGAUUAAAAGAAUGAUAUCAUAGAUUUUGUUUUAUAUAAGUAGAGUUUGUGUAUACAUGUAUGUUUAAAUAUGUGGUUUUACAGAAAGAUGAGUAAAUUGGUUACUAUACAAA
RNAcentral lists this long non-coding RNA (2981 nucleotides) under Mytilus galloprovincialis (Mediterranean mussel). The record is from RNAcentral. Lineage: Eukaryota; Metazoa; Mollusca; Bivalvia; Mytilida; Mytilidae.